RNAcentral lists this ribosomal RNA (450 nucleotides) under uncultured bacterium. RNAcentral's name for it is "partial 16S ribosomal RNA". It matches the Rfam family "Bacterial small subunit ribosomal RNA", at positions 338 to 795 of the family's 1533-position model. The record is from RNAcentral.
CCUACGGGUGGCUGCAGUAAGGAAUAUUGGUCAAUGGACGAAAGUCUGAACCAGCCAUGCCGCGUGAAGGAUGAAGGUCCUCUGGAUUGUAAACUUCUUUUAUCUGGGACGAAAAAAGGGAAUUCUUUCUCACUUGACGGUACCAGAAGAAUAAGCACCGGCUAACUCCGUGCCAGCAGCCGCGGUAAUACGGAGGGUGCAGGAGUUACCCGGAUUAAAGGGGUUGUAGGGGUGCGUUUGAGUCCGGGUUGAAAUCUCCGGGCUUAACCCGGAAACUGCCAUUGAUACUAUCUGUCUUGAAUACUCUGGAGGUAAGCGGAAUAUGUCAUGUAGCGGUGAAAUGCUUAGAUAUGACAUAGAACACCGAUUGCGAAGGCAGCUUACUACGGAGUCAUUGACACUGAGGCACGAAAGCGUGGGGAUCAAACAGGAUUAGAUACCCGAGUAGUC